GAAUGUGCCUUCGGGAACCGUGAGACAGGUGCUGCAUGGCUGUCGUCAGCUCGUGUUGUGAAAUGUUGGGUUAAGUCCCGCAACGAGCGCAACCCUUAUCCUUUGUUGCCAGCGGUCCGGCCGGGAACUCAAAGGAGACUGCCAGUGAUAAACUGGAGGAAGGUGGGGAUGACGUCAAGUCAUCAUGGCCCUUACGACCAGGGCUACACACGUGCUACAAUGGCGCAUACAAAGAGAAGCGACCUCGCGAGAGCAAGCGGACCUCAUAAAGUGCGUCGUAGUCCGGAUUGGAGUCUGCAACUCGACUCCAUGAAGUCGGAAUCGCUAGUAAUCGUGGAUCAGAAUGCCACGGUGAAUACGUUCCCGGGCCUUGUACACACCGCCCGUCACACCAUGGGAGUGGGUUGCAAAAGAAGUAGGUAGCUUAACCUUCGGGAGGGCGCUUACCACUUUGUGAUUCAUGACUGGGGUGAAGUCGUAACAAGGUAACCGUAGGGGAACCUGCGGUUGGAUCACCUCCUU
This 522-nucleotide ribosomal RNA is filed under the name Escherichia coli. RNAcentral's name for it is "bacterial SSU rRNA". It matches the Rfam family "Bacterial small subunit ribosomal RNA", at positions 1010 to 1532 of the family's 1533-position model. The record is from RNAcentral. RNAcentral also lists the same sequence under 1 other name. Lineage: Bacteria; Pseudomonadati; Pseudomonadota; Gammaproteobacteria; Enterobacterales; Enterobacteriaceae.